RNAcentral lists this ribosomal RNA (471 nucleotides) under uncultured organism. Its description in RNAcentral is "partial 16S ribosomal RNA". It matches the Rfam family "Bacterial small subunit ribosomal RNA", at positions 333 to 797 of the family's 1533-position model. The record is from RNAcentral.
ACACUCCUGCGGGAGGCAGCAGUGGGGAAUAUUGCACAAUGGGCGCAAGCCUGAUGCAGCCAUGCCGCGUGUAUGAAGAAGGCCUUCGGGUUGUAAAGUACUUUCAGCGGGGAGGAAGGCGAUAAGGUUAAUAACCUUGUCGAUUGACGUUACCCGCAGAAGAAGCACCGGCUAACUCCGUGCCAGCAGCCGCGGUAAUACGGAGGGUGCAAGCGUUAAUCGGAAUUACUGGGCGUAAAGCGCACGCAGGCGGUCUGUCAAGUCGGAUGUGAAAUCCCCGGGCUCAACCUGGGAACUGCAUUCGAAACUGGCAGGCUAGAGUCUUGUAGAGGGGGGUAGAAUUCCAGGUGUAGCGGUGAAAUGCGUAGAGAUCUGGAGGAAUACCGGGGGCGAAGGCGGCCCCUGGACAAAGACUGACGCUCAGGUGCGAAAGCGUGGGGAGCAAACAGGAUUAGAUACCCGGGUAGUCCC